GAUGAACGCUAGCGAUAGGCUUAACACAUGCCAGUCGAGGGGCAGCAUGGUCUUAGCUUGCUAAGACUGAUGGCGACCGGCGCACGGGUGCGUAACGCGUAUGCAACUUGCCUCACAGAGGGGGAUAACCCGUCGAAAGACGGACUAAUACCGCGUACACUCCAUCUUGGGCAUCCAAGGUAGAGGAAAUGAAAUUCGCUGUGAGAUAGGCAUGCGUCCCAUUAGCUAGUUGGUGAGGUAACGGCUCACCAAGGCGACGAUGGGUAGGGGAACUGAGAGGUUGAACCCCCACACUGGUACUGAGACACGGACCAGACUACUACGGGAGGCAGCAGUGAGGAAUAUUGGUCAAUGGGCGAGAGCCUGAACCAGCCAAGUCGCGUGAAGGAUGACUGUCUUAUGGAUUGUAAACUUCUUUUAUACGGGAAUAACAAGAGUCACGUGUGACUCCCUGCAUGUACCGUAUGAAUAAGCAUCGGCUAACUCCGUG
This 490-nucleotide ribosomal RNA is filed under the name uncultured bacterium. RNAcentral describes it as "partial 16S ribosomal RNA". It matches the Rfam family "Bacterial small subunit ribosomal RNA", at positions 28 to 507 of the family's 1533-position model. The record is from RNAcentral.